RNAcentral lists this long non-coding RNA (4820 nucleotides) under Gossypium barbadense (sea-island cotton). Its description in RNAcentral is "long non-coding RNA (GBAR_LNC007965)". The record is from RNAcentral. Lineage: Eukaryota; Viridiplantae; Streptophyta; Magnoliopsida; Malvales; Malvaceae.
GGGAAAAGAGGUUUUUAUGAAAUCAGUUCUUCAAGCAAUACCAACUUACACUGUUGUAGGCCAAUUGUGGCCCGUUUACAUCUAAACUCGAGUGGCCUAAUUACUAAAUUAAAACCCAACAAAUUAAACCCAAAAUAUACCUCAAGCCCAAUACCUAAACUAGCCCAAACAACAAACCCAACAAAACCUAAAUACCUAGCCCAAGCCUAAUUAGCUCAUUAGUCAAACUAGGGUUUCAGAAAAGCUGAAACCCUAGCCACCCUCUCCCCACUUGCCUCUGAUGACUCUGCCACCACCACCCACCGCCACCUGCUCUACCACCACUUGCACCUGCAAAAUCAAAGAAAGAAAAGACACAAAUAUAAAAAAAAAUUUGAUGUAAAAUAGCUAUAAAAAGCCAAGCAAAAUAUUAUAAAGGGGUUGGGCAGUCUUAAUACAUAUAUUAUAUUUUCAAACACAAAAACAGUGACGAGGGAAACACCAAAUCAAAAACACAAUACCAAAUCAAGGGAUCUAAGUGCCAAAAAUCGAGAUUGAAAACCAAAGGUGAUUCUUUUUUUUUUAGAAUAUGUUAUUUUUUUAUUUUUUGUACCCUUUUUAUAUUGCAAAUCUACUUAAAUAUAUACAUAUUAUACAAAAAAUAAAAAAAAUACUUUUUUUCGAUUUUCUGGCCAUCGUGUACGGUGGCCGGCGGUGGCCAGCGACAGCGAUCGGCGGUGGCGGCUAGGCAGAGUCCUCGCCGAAGCAUAUACUUGCAGAGAGAAAACAAAAGGGGGUAAAGAAUUUUUUUUUAAAACAAGAUGGAAGUUAUUUUUUUUUAAAAUUUUGGCCUUAAAUAGGCCUCCAAAACGAUGUCGUUUUGGGCAAGCCUUUUAAGCACCAAAAUGACGUCGUUUUGAGCUUUAACCCAUGGCAGACCCGCAACCUGACCCGCUCCAACUUUAGGAUCCGCGUGUUUUCAUUGGAAGGGCUAUUUGCGCAUUUAGCCCCUUCGCUUCUUUUCUAUUAUGCAAUCAAGUUUUUAGUUGUUUCAAAUUCGACCCCGAAAUUUUUCGCGAUUUUCAAUUUAGUCCCCGAUGAUGUGCUGCGUUUUGAUAGGAAGGAAUAUUUGCUGUUUCGAUCCCCCUAUGUUUUGCACGCGUUCAAAUAGGCCCCUUCCUUUUGUUUUAUUUCAAAUUCGCCUAAAAAAUUCCAUUUUCGAUUCAAUUUCGUCCUUUCUUUUUUUUUUUACUUUUUCUCAUUAUUCUAUUUUAAUUUUAAUAUUAUUCAUACUAUUAUAUUUUUAUUUAUUAGCAUCUCAUUAUUAUUAUUUUUACUUAAUACUUAUAUAUAUUAUAUAGUAUUAUUAAUAGUUGCUUUUAAUAUUAUUAAUAUUUCUAAUAUGUAUAUAUUAUGUAAAUAUUUUUAAUACUAUAUUAUGUAUAUAUUUUUACAUGUAUUAUGUACAUAUUUUCAAUAACUAUAUUAUAUGUAUAUAUUUUAUGUACAUACUUAUAAUAUUAUAAUAUUAUUAUGUAUUUAUUCUUAAUAUAUAUGUAUAUAUUUAUGUAGUAUUAUUAAUAGUUAUUUUUUUAACAUUAUUAUUAUUUCUAAUAUGUAUAUACUAUGUAAAUAUUUUAAUACUAUAUUAUGUAUACAUUUUUUAUAUAUAUUACGUAUAUAUAUCUUUUUAAUAUUGUAUUUUUAUAUAUGUUAUGUAUAUAUCUUUAAUACCAUAUUAUUUAUAUAUUUUUUUAUUUUUCAUAUUAUCUUACGUAUAUAUUUUUUAAUAAUUAUAUUAUGUAUAUACUAUUACUAUAUAUCUAUUUAUGUAGCAUUAUUAAUGGUUGUUUUUACUAUUAUUAUUAUUCCUAGUAUAUAUACUAUGUAUACAUUUUUUAAAUACUAUACAUAUAUAUAUAUUUUUUAAAUACCGUAUUAUGUACAUGUUAUUAUUAUAUCUAUUUUUACCCCUAUUAUAUUUAUUAUUAAUAUUAAUAUAUAUUUUAUUAUACGUGUAUAUAUAUACUUUUUAUAUAUAGUAUUAUUUUUAUAUAUCAUUAUAUUUAUUAUUAUACUUAUUAUUUUCACUAUUGUUGCUUAAUAUUAUUAUGUAUUAUUUGGUAUACAUGUAUCUUUUUGUACAUACUUAUACUUACUUCAUUACUCUUGAUCAUUACCAUUACCACUAUUAUAAGUAUAAUUAUUAUUCUUUUCAUCAUUAUUAACAUGUAUAUACACAUAUAUAUGUAUAUAUAUAUUUUUAUGUAUAUAUUGUUAUUUCUCUAUUAUCGUUAUAAAUACAUUAUUUUUCUUAUUAUAGUAAUAGUACAUUAUUUUUAUUUUCUUGUAAAUAUUGUUCUUGUAAAUAUUGUUAUUGUUGUUUUAAUAUUCUUAAUUUUUAAUAUUUUUAUUAUUAAUUGUAUCAUUGUUUGCAUUAUUUACGAAUUCUUAUUGUAAUAAUGUUUUACUCAUACUUUUUAAAUUAAUUUCAACAAAUAAGACAACAUACCGAUUUAAUAUUAAUUCGUCGAUUUCAUCUUUAUGUUGGGUGAAUAUUAAUCAACUCAUGUUAAAAACGAAACAUCCUUCUCAAAAGAAGCCGAAAAACUUAAAAUUUCUCGUGUUUUAAUCGAAUCACGAUUAAAUGUUAUAUUGAACUCGCAUUUUUGAAAAUUGAAACAACACAUGUUUAACGAGAUACUAAUUUUGGGAGCCGCGAAGGUGCUAAUACCUUCCUCGUGCGUAACCAACUCCCGAACCUUACAUUUUUCCUAAAUUUUGACGUAAACCUAAACCCGGCUCCUUAAGUAUUCAAAAGUAAAUUUUCUUUUAAAAAUUUUUUUUUAUUAAGUGUCCGAUCACACAUAGAAAAAAGAUCGGUGACAACUCUCUUUUUUUAAAUCGAAAUUCUUUUUUUCAAAUUUUCCAAUAAAUCACCUCAAUUAGCGACCGAGAGCAAAUUUUUUUUACGUUGCUACAUACACUAUGACAUGCUUUCUUCUACCAAAGUCUUUAUGUGGGGAUUUAAAAAAUAUUUUUGCUAAAUUCCAGUGGCAACAUGGAAAGAGGAAGAAAGGUAUACAUUGGUGCUAAUAGAAAUUUAUGUGUCGACCAAAAGAGGAGGGGGAAAUGGGAUUUCGAAACAUGUCUCACUUUAAUAUAUCUCUUCUAGCGAAACAAGGAUGGAGGAUUAUUAAUAAUCAGAAUUCUCUUGUUAUGCGAGCUCUUAAAGCUAAAUAUUUUCCAAAUGAUCAUUUUUUAAACUCCUGUUUGGGAAACUCAGUUGCUUAUACAUGGAAAAGCAUCUGGGCGGCUAAAGAUGUAUUGGCAAAGGGUUUAUGUUGGUGAGUAGGUACAGGCAUUAAUAUUUCUAUUAAUAAUGAUGCUUGGAUUCCAGACGCAAUAAAUUUUGGGCUAUCUUCAAUGGUUAAUUCGAUGUCAAAUUUAAAAGUUAAUGCGUUGAUCGAUAACACUGAAAGAAUAUGAAAAAUGGAGCUGAUUAAGAAUACCUUUUCAGAGGAAGAUGUUGGAAAAAUACUCCGGAUCCCCUUGGCACGCGUACCACACGACGAUUUCCUGGUUUGGGGACAUGAAGCUUCGGGAGAAUUUUUGGUCCGCAGCGCCUAUAAACUAUUGCAAAUUUCUGAUGAAAAUCUUAGAGCUUACGCUUUACAACAAACCAUCUACAAGAAAUUCUAAAAAAAACUAUGGCUCCUAAAUCUACCAACAAAAAUCAAGAUUACAAUAUGGAGGUUUUCAUGGAACUAUCUGCCUAUGAAGGUAAAUAUGCAGUAUAGGAAGUUAGCUAAUAACUCAAGCUGCCCUUGGUGUGGAGAACGAGCUGAAACAAUUGACCACUUACUUUGGGAGUGUCCUGUUACAGUGGAAGUUUGGACAAUGUUAUCAUUUUAGAAUAUUCUCAUAGUUGCUAAUAUGGAUUUUGCACAAUGGCUUACCUGGGUAUUUGAACAGUUUAGCCCUCGUUAAUGUCGCAUUUUCUGCCUUUGUACUCUGGGCCAUAUGGGAGACAAGAACUCAAGGAUACAUAAGAAAAAGACCAGUACAGGUAAAGAAAUAGGAAAUUUCAUUAAUAAUUAUAUUGCAGAACUUGACGGUCUUGAAAAUAGAAAAUUAGUAAAUACAAAGGAAAACAGGAGUUGGAGGCACCCACCUCGGGAGUUCAUCAAGAUCAACUUCGAUGGCACGUAUGAUGGAAAAAAUAAUUUUUCAGCCUUAGGAAUCAUAGUCAGAAAUGAAGAAGAGUUAGUUAUCUUAUCCUGUUCAGAAACCCAUCAAGGGGCCGCCUUUGCCUUUGUCGCUGAAGCAGUUGCAUGCCGAAAAGCAGUCCGAAUAGGAGUCGAAAAUAAAUGGCCGGCAGUUAUAAUCGAAGGCGAUUCCCUCGCAAUAAUAAAAAAAUGUAACUGCAAAUGUCAAGACAGAUCCAUGAUAGGAGCAUAUAUAUCGGAUAUUCAACAGAUGACAAAUAGAUCUAAGAAUUUUUUGUUUAAACAUAUUCCAAGACCUGAAAAAGUCCUUGCUUAUAAAAUCACAACAGAGACUCUAAAAAGGAGAGAGGAAGUGUACCUAGAAAGGAGAGUCCCGGAGUACGCUGAGAACCAAAUGCAGCUUGAAUGGGUGCGUGAAGCAGAUUGAAGAAUGGUUUUUCGGAGGAAAGUUUUUGAAAAAGGGAAGCUUAAAGAAAUGACAACGUUUUGAGAGAACUAGCUUUCCUAAAAGAGUGAAAUCGUCAACCGAGGGCAGGAGAUAAAAUGGACAGCCGACUGAACAAAUUUCAGAGUUUAUGAUUGGGUGUUAGUUCGGUGCAUUUAUUGCUUUCU